Molecule: ribosomal RNA, 253 nt
Filed under: uncultured bacterium
Lineage: Bacteria
Description: partial 16S ribosomal RNA
Rfam family: Bacterial small subunit ribosomal RNA
Source: RNAcentral
UACAGAGGAGCCAAGCGUUGUCCGGAUUGACUGGGCGUAAAGCGCACGCAGGCGGUUGCGCGCGUGGGGUGUGAAAUCUGGCCGCUUAACGGCCAGGCGCCAUCCCAUACGGCGCGACUGGAGUGAUGCAGAGGUCGAAGGAAUUGCCGGUGUAGUGGUGAAAUGCGUAGAGAUCGGCAGGAACACCCAGGGGGAAACCAGUCGACUGGGCAUCUACUGACGCUGAGGUGCGAGAGCGUGGGGAGCGAACCGG